AACAGUUACAGGUAGGUUGUGGAUGGUGCCAGUAAAUUUUAGAGUUUUGGGAGAUGUGUUGCUUGUGAGGGCUUGGGGUGAUGAAUGAAAAUGGAUGGUGUUUGGGCAUUCAGUGUUUGUGGGUGCAUUCUCGAUAGUUUCUAAGGUGGUGUUUGAGUCAUCCAAGAGAAGUAGGAAACGGGAAGUGGUGCAUCUAUGCCCUAGAGUAAAUUUAUCAUCACAGUUGUAACAUAAACUAAGGGCACGACGUUCUUGCAACUGGGUUGGUGUGAGGCGUUUAAUGGGCAAGGGAUGAUUUAUUUGAGGGUUGACAAUGGAUUUGUUGCUAGGAAAUAA
This 336-nucleotide long non-coding RNA is filed under the name Phaseolus vulgaris (common bean). RNAcentral describes it as "long non-coding RNA (PVUL_LNC004028)". Lineage: Eukaryota; Viridiplantae; Streptophyta; Magnoliopsida; Fabales; Fabaceae. The record is from RNAcentral.